Long non-coding RNA from Salvia splendens (bonfire salvia), 132 nucleotides. RefSeq lists it as uncharacterized. NCBI's taxonomy places the organism in Eukaryota, Viridiplantae, Streptophyta, Magnoliopsida, Lamiales, Lamiaceae. The transcript is spliced from 3 exons. The record is from RefSeq and is a predicted model, not a curated record.
AGCCAAUCUUCUUCUGAAAACAAUCUUUGUCCAAUCUGCAUCACUGAAACAAAGAACAUGGCAUUCGGUUGCGGACACCAGACAUGCUGCGAAUGCGGUCAAGGCCUCUCGUUGUGCCCGAUUUGUCGGGUG